RNAcentral lists this ribosomal RNA (854 nucleotides) under Serratia ureilytica. Its description in RNAcentral is "partial 23S ribosomal RNA". It matches the Rfam family "Bacterial large subunit ribosomal RNA", at positions 359 to 1218 of the family's 2925-position model. The record is from RNAcentral. Lineage: Bacteria; Pseudomonadati; Pseudomonadota; Gammaproteobacteria; Enterobacterales; Yersiniaceae.
AAAGGGUGAUAGCCCCGUACACUAAAAUGCACAGGUCGUGAGUUCGAUGAGUAGGGCGGGACACGUGACAUCCUGUCUGAAUAUGGGGGGACCAUCCUCCAAGGCUAAAUACUCCUGACUGACCGAUAGUGAACCAGUACCGUGAGGGAAAGGCGAAAAGAACCCCGGCGAGGGGAGUGAAAUAGAACCUGAAACCGUGUACGUACAAGCAGUGGGAGCACCUUCGUGGUGUGACUGCGUACCUUUUGUAUAAUGGGUCAGCGACUUAUAUUUUGUAGCAAGGUUAACCGUAUAGGGGAGCCGUAGGGAAACCGAGUCUUAACUGGGCGAUUAGUUGCAAGGUAUAGACCCGAAACCCGGUGAUCUAGCCAUGGGCAGGUUGAAGGUUGGGUAACACUAACUGGAGGACCGAACCGACUAAUGUUGAAAAAUUAGCGGAUGACUUGUGGCUGGGGGUGAAAGGCCAAUCAAACCGGGAGAUAGCUGGUUCUCCCCGAAAGCUAUUUAGGUAGCGCCUCGUGAACUCAUCUUCGGGGGUAGAGCACUGUUUCGGCUAGGGGGCCAUCCCGGCUUACCAAACCGAUGCAAACUCCGAAUACCGAAGAAUGUUAUCACGGGAGACACACGGCGGGUGCUAACGUCCGUCGUGAAGAGGGAAACAACCCAGACCGCCAGCUAAGGUCCCAAAGUCAUGGUUAAGUGGGAAACGAUGUGGGAAGGCAUAGACAGCCAGGAUGUUGGCUUAGAAGCAGCCAUCAUUUAAAGAAAGCGUAAUAGCUCACUGGUCGAGUCGGCCUGCGCGGAAGAUGUAACGGGGCUAAACCAUGCACCGAAGCUGCGGCAGCGACGCUUAG